This 67-nucleotide transfer RNA is filed under the name Marmota monax (woodchuck). RNAcentral describes it as "tRNA.Val". Lineage: Eukaryota; Metazoa; Chordata; Mammalia; Rodentia; Sciuridae. The record is from RNAcentral.
GAUAUAGCUCAGUUGGUACAGUGCUUGUCUCACAUGCACAAGGCCUUGGGUUCAAUCCCCAGAACCA